Molecule: ribosomal RNA, 465 nt
Filed under: Triticum aestivum (bread wheat)
Lineage: Eukaryota; Viridiplantae; Streptophyta; Magnoliopsida; Poales; Poaceae
Description: partial small subunit ribosomal RNA
Source: RNAcentral
AUGUACAAACUCCUUGAAAGCAACCUUGCAGGAUGUGACUAUCGAUGGGUCUGGAAAGCUAGUAUUCCACUUAAGAUCAAAAUCUUUAUGUGGCAGUUAUUUCAGGACGCGGUCCUAACUAGAGAUGUUAUGAAACGGCAAAAUUGGGCUGGUAAUGCUAAGUGUUUGUUUUGUGCUGCUCGUGAGACGGCGCAACAUCUUUUCUUCCUAUGCCCUGUUGCCAGAGUGAUCUGGCGAUCGGUGGGGGCGAUCCUGGGCACCGAUCUUUGUCCUAAUAAUCUCUGGCAGUAUUACACUUGGUGUUAUAUUUACCUUCCUGAUGGUGCUAAGUUCUAUACCUUCGGUCUUGCUGCAUCUGUUGGGCAAUUUGGAACAGUCGUAACAGUGCAACCUUUGAGUUUAAGCUCCCUAAAACUCCUUUUGAGAUUGUCUUUUCUGCGUGUGUCUUCAUCACCUACUGGGUAG